Molecule: long non-coding RNA, 576 nt
Filed under: Drosophila guanche
Lineage: Eukaryota; Metazoa; Arthropoda; Insecta; Diptera; Drosophilidae
Source: RNAcentral
GCUCCAACUACAAUUCCAGCGCCAGCUCCAAGGCAAGCACCGCAAAGCGGAAACGGAAAUCGGAAACUGUGCAACUGUGCAACUGCCACCAUCAGAGGCAGAGGCAGAGCCAGAGGCAAAGGCAAAGGCAGAAAUAGGCGGCACCAGCACCGGCACCAGGACACGAGGACACAAGGACAACAGCAGGCGGGCCUGGGAUGACGAUAAAAGUGUUGCAAUUUAUGGUCAGGCUAGAUGGCGCCCAGGCACAGGGCCCAGGCCUGGUCUCAGUUUCGGUUUCAGCCCAAUCACUACCCCAAAGCGAAGACCCAGGCCAUAGACAGAGGCAGAGGCAGAGGCAGAGACAGAGCCAGCUAAAGUUUCUGGCUAAUUGAUUUUGUGAUUUUAUCUUUUAAUGACUUUUUCGGAAAGUGCAAAACUAAACUGUGGACUGUCGUGGCGCCUGCCUCGUAUAUAUUUGAUUUUAAUUGCAUUAAAUGCACUGCUUGCCAUACCCCUCCCAAUCAACGCACAGCAAGCAGUUUAUUGAGCAGCGACAGCCCAAAAGUAUGCAUCGCGCCCAUACGCCACUUCCAU